RNAcentral lists this ribosomal RNA (466 nucleotides) under uncultured bacterium. Its description in RNAcentral is "bacterial SSU rRNA". It matches the Rfam family "Bacterial small subunit ribosomal RNA", at positions 330 to 794 of the family's 1533-position model. The record is from RNAcentral.
GCCAGACUCCUACGGGAGGCAGCAGUGAGGAAUAUUGGUCAAUGGCCGAGAGGCUGAACCAGCCAAGUCGCGUGAGGGAUGACGGCCCUACGGGUUGUAAACCUCUUUUGCCGGGGAGCAAAGAGCGGGACGCGUCCCGCCUCGAGAGUACCCGGAGAAAAAGCAUCGGCUAACUCCGUGCCAGCAGCCGCGGUAAUACGGAGGAUGCGAGCGUUAUCCGGAUUUAUUGGGUUUAAAGGGUGCGCAGGCGGCACGGCAAGCCGGCGGUCAAAUCGCAGGGCUCAACCCCGCCCAGCCGUCGGAACUGCCGGACUAGAGUGGGCGAGAAGUGCGCGGAAUGCGUGGUGUAGCGGUGAAAUGCAUAGAUAUCACGCAGAACUCCGAUUGCGAGGGCAGCGCACCGGCGCCCUACUGACGCUCAGGCACGAAAGCGUGGGUAUCGAACAGGAUUAGAUACCCCAGUAUG